RNAcentral lists this long non-coding RNA (790 nucleotides) under Mytilus galloprovincialis (Mediterranean mussel). The record is from RNAcentral. Lineage: Eukaryota; Metazoa; Mollusca; Bivalvia; Mytilida; Mytilidae.
GUUCGGUUAUGGUUAUGAUUUCAUUUUUAAAGGGUUAAGACAAGAAUUCAUUCAAACUGUAAAGCAAUUAAAGUGCCUGCAAGUUUUAGUAAUUUUAAACCCGAUUGUCACCUUAUUGUAGAUUGGAGCAAUUUGCUAUGGCGAACCUAUUUUUUUUUUUAUUUCAAUCCAUAUCUCAAAUCUGAAAAGUUGGAAAUAAAUCAGACAAAACCUCCUCGAGAUGAAACACCAGACAACAUGCGAAAAUGGAUGAAAUUUGGAAAAUUAGGCAGGACUGGUGUUUUCAGUAAAACAAAAACACAAGAUGAGCAACUUGGCCAAAAAAAUGAAGAUAGACUAAUAAAAGAAAAACAAAACCAGACAGAGUAAAAAUAAAAAAAAAGACAGGACAGAGAUAACUAAAACAAGAAUGUGUCCUCAGUACACGAAUGCCCCACUCGCACUAUCAUUUUCCAUGUUCAGUGGACCGUGAAAUUGGGGUAAAAACUCUAAUUUGGCAUUAAAAUUAGAAAGAUCAUAUCAUAGGGGACAUGUGUACUAAGUUUGAAGUCGAUUGGACUUAAACUUCAUCAAAAACUACCUUGACCAAAAACUUUAACCUGAAGCGGGACAGACGGACGGACGAACGAACGGACAGACGGACGGACGCACAGACCAGACAACAUAAUGCCCCUCUACUAUCGUAGGUGGGGCAUAAAAAAAUGCAGGACCUUAAAUUUUCAGCCUACUAACGGAUUCGGAAACAAGGUUUACCUUAAAUGAUAGGUGUAUUUAAAAAAAUAUAACAUGC